Molecule: ribosomal RNA, 253 nt
Filed under: uncultured bacterium
Lineage: Bacteria
Description: partial 16S ribosomal RNA
Rfam family: Bacterial small subunit ribosomal RNA
Source: RNAcentral
UACGGGGGGGGCAAGCGUUGUUCGGAAUUACUGGGCGUAAAGGGCUCGUAGGCGGCCAACUAAGUCGGACGUGAAAUCCCUCGGCUUAACCGGGGAACUGCGUCCGAUACUGGAUGGCUAGAGUUUGGGAGAGGGAUGCGGAAUUCCAGGUGUAGCGGUGAAAUGCGUAGAUAUCUGGAGGAACACCGGUGGCGAAGGCGGCAUCCUGGACCAACACUGACACUGAGGAGCGAAAGCCAGGGGAGCAAACGGG